CGCGUAGGCCGUUGAGUUAGUUAAUUGUGAAAUCCCAAAGCUUAACUUUGGAACUGCAAUUAAAACUGCUCGACUAGAGUUUGAUAGAGGAAAGCGGAAUACAUAGUGUAGAGGUGAAAUUCGUAGAUAUUAUGUAGAACACCAGUUGCGAAGGCGGCUUUCUGGAUCAACACUGACGCUGAGGCGCGAAAGUAUGGGUAGCAAAGA
Molecule: ribosomal RNA, 207 nt
Filed under: uncultured bacterium
Lineage: Bacteria
Description: partial 16S ribosomal RNA
Rfam family: Bacterial small subunit ribosomal RNA
Source: RNAcentral